Molecule: ribosomal RNA, 932 nt
Filed under: uncultured Bacillota bacterium
Lineage: Bacteria; Bacillati; Bacillota
Description: bacterial SSU rRNA
Rfam family: Bacterial small subunit ribosomal RNA
Source: RNAcentral
GGAUCCAGACUUUGAUCAUGGCUCAUGACGAACGCUGGCGGCGUGCCUAAUACAUGCAAGUAGAACGCUGAAGAGAGGAGCUUGCUCUUCUUGGAUGAGUUGCGAACGGGUGAGUAACGCGUAGGUAACCUGCCUUGUAGCGGGGGAUAACUAUUGGAAACGAUAGCUAAUACCGCAUAACAAUGGAUGACUCAUGUCAUUUAUUUGAAAGGGGCAAAUGCUCCACUACAAGAUGGACCUGCGUUGUAUUAGCUAGUAGGUGAGGUAACGGCUCACCUAGACGACGAUACAUAGCCGACCUGAGAGGGUGAUCGGCCACACUGGGACUGAGACACGGCCCAGACUCCUACGGGAGGCAGCAGUAGGGAAUCUUCGGCAAUGGGGGCAACCCUGACCGAGCAACGCCGCGUGAGUGAAGAAGGUUUUCGGAUCGUAAAGCUCUGUUGUAAGUCAAGAACGAGUGUGAGAGUGGAAAGUUCACACUGUGACGGUAGCUUACCAGAAAGGGACGGCUAACUACGUGCCAGCAGCCGCGGUAAUACGUAGGUCCCGAGCGUUGUCCGGAUUUAUUGGGCGUAAAGCGAGCGCAGGCGGUUUGAUAAGUCUGAAGUUAAAGGCUGUGGCUCAACCAUAGUUCGCUUUGGAAACUGUCAAACUUGAGUGCAGAAGGGGAGAGUGGAAUUCCAUGUGUAGCGGUGAAAUGCGUAGAUAUAUGGAGGAACACCGGUGGCGAAAGCGGCUCUCUGGUCUGUAACUGACGCUGAGGCUCGAAAGCGUGGGGAGCGAACAGGAUUAGAUACCCUGGUAGUCCACGCCGUAAACGAUGAGUGCUAGGUGUUGGAUUCUUUCCGGGAUUCAGUGCCGCAGCUAACGCAUUAAGCACUCCGCCUGGGGAGUACGACCGCAAGGUUGCAACUCAAAGGAAUUGACGG